CCACAAGGCGCACGAAAUAAACGUGGAGUGACACCCGCCAGCGCUAGACUCCGGCCUUUGCGCUCCUGCAGGAUUUAGAACUGGAAUAGCAUGAUUAUAUGACUCCUAGUGUGGAUGAUUCUGGAACCAGUAACUCAUAGCAGUCUUGGCUGAUUAAUGGAGCAGAUAUUGGUGAAGACAACUCCGCGCAAAGUCACUCUUUUGCCUGGGGACCAGACCCCAACCCCUUACAACCAAGCAGAGGGCCCUAAUAAUUUGUUAUUUGAAACAGGUGAUAUGAUCUUCCUCCUCCCUUUUCACCAUCACAGAGCAGCUUUUACACAAAUAGCUUGGGGAUCACCACGUCCUUCUUCCACAGCCAAGGAGGAGAAAGUUCCUAGAAAGUUUAGCAUAGCAAUAUGUCAGAAGAGGCAUUCAAGGGGCCCAGAGUAAGGCACUCCUGGCUCCGAGAACACCUGGAAGACACACUUUGAGAGAAGUGCAAAGAAGUUUCUCUAAAUUUGAGUUUGCUUUUUAUUUGUAUUUGUCAUACAUUUUGAUAUACCCUAGGUGCAGGGGAACAUGACAGAUUUUCCCCCAAAAAAUUAUCACUUUUUUCAACCAUACAGAAAAUUUGAAAAAACAGUACGAUGAACAACCAUAUGUUCAACCCCACACAAAUUGUUAUUUUCCCAUAUUUGCUCUCGUUUCUUUGCUCCAAGUUUUUCUGCAUAGCCCCUGUCCUCCCAUCACUGUGCAGGUUACCACUAGCCUUUAUUUCUUGAGGGCUUCCUAUGUGCUGGGGGACCAGUAUGGACCAUCUCAUUAGAGCUAUACUUCCACCCUACUAAAUAGGCCCUAUUGAUAUUCCCAUUUUAUUUUUUUAUUUUGAGACGGAGUCUCACUCUGUCGCCCAGGCUGGAGUGCAGUGUUGCAAUUUCAGCUCACUGCAAGCUCCGCCUCCCGGGUUCACGCCAUUCUCCUGCCUCAGCCUCCCGAGUAGCUGGGACUACAGGCACCUGCCACUAUGCCCAGCUAAUUUUUUGUAUUUUUAGUAGAGAUGGGGUUUCACCGUGUUAGCCAGGAUGGUCUCGAUCUCUUGACCUCGUGAUCCGCCCGCCUUGGCCUCCCAAAGUGCUGGGAUUACAGGCGUGAGCCACCGCGCCCGGCCGAUAUUCCCAUUUUAUAGAUGAAACGUAGGCAUAGAUAUGUGACUUGCUUAAGGUCACCUGGCAAAUUGGAUACAGAACCCACUUACUGAAUCACUAUACUACCUUAUAACACGUAAACUUAAUCUCAUUUAAGCUUUUCAAUCUCAUUUAGACUGACAACAACCUUGAUAUCAAUUGUAGAGCUCAGAGAGGAUAUGAAAUUUGCUAGAGGUGACAGAGCUGAGAGAUUCAGUGCCUGCAUCAGAUUCGUAACAGUGAGACUGAAGACAAUAUGACAGGCGGAGUCAAAACUCCGGCAAGCCUCUGUCUCAUUUCUCAAUUUGGUUUUCUCAUCUGUAAAACGAUUCCUGUAACGUGACUGAGGUACAGACUGCGCUGGCUCUCCAGAUGUGUUCUCUAUAGUCCCUACUGAAUGGGGAGCACUGAGUAAAUAACUGCCACCUAUCUCAGGAAGAGGGUGUUUUGAGAAUUACCAGAAACCUGUAAGUGGGGGACAUUUAGCAGUGUGGCUAAGAGUGGGACUCUAGACUCAGAUCCCGGCUACUCCACUGUUGUUUAAUGGUUCUGUGCUCCAGCAUCCUCCUCUGAAAAAUGGGAUAAUAGACUCUGCUCCAUAGAGUUGCUGGAAGAAUGAAAUAAAUGCUGAACACAGUACUUAGGACAUACUUAAUGCUCAAUAUAGCCAUUAUGACUAUUAUGCCAGUUACUUUGGGCUCACAUGUCGUAGCAUGAACAGUUGGACCACGUGAUUGCAGGGUAAAUGGGCUCAACCUGCAAUGGCUGUGACCACAGUCAAAUCCUUGGUUUCCAACAUGCUCCAUUUGAACACGGGAUUUCUCAUGCCUGGAUAUGGCUUUCCCCCACUUCUGCUUGUGUGCCUGUGUGGUCCCCAAAGCUUCCCAGCCCCACAUCUGCCUCACCAGCAAGUGCAACCCUCUGGACAGCAUAGAGGUUCUAUUCGAGGGUCACAGGACCCAAGCCAUCAGGUAAGCCUGACUCCACUAAUCUCUGGAAUUCAGUAUCCAGGACCUCACCUGACCUGGUGUUUCCACAGAGAUCCCAAUUACAGAGUGGACCCAGAGGGAAGGGAAAAUCCCGCAAACGUUGCCAACCACCAUUCCUGAGCUGAAUUCACCUUCCCUCCCCGCAGACAGACACUUGCAGGAUUUAGACAAACCACAACUGUUUAUUGGUGAAAGACUCAGCUUCCUCAUGUGCUCGCUGCAAAAUAAAUAAAAUA
Molecule: long non-coding RNA, 2391 nt
Filed under: Homo sapiens (human)
Lineage: Eukaryota; Metazoa; Chordata; Mammalia; Primates; Hominidae
Description: HSALNT0087939
Source: RNAcentral